AUGCUCUCGUACUUCUGUGGAGCAUCAGAGGUCAGAUCUGCAGCCUCAGGAUGAUGAACACACUCACUCUGCUGCUGGCUGCUCUCUCUCUGCCCUGUUGCACAAGUCAGAGUAUGGAGUCCAUGCCUUCCAGUUCAGUCAUGAAAAGGCCCGGGGAGACACUCAGUCUGUCCUGCAGGGGAUCAGGCUUCACUUUCAACUGCUGUGUUAUGAGCUGGAUGAGACAACCUGCAGGAAAAGCACUGGAAUGGAUCGGAAACGGCUAUUCCAACCCAAGCAAGAACACUUAUGCCAGCAGUGCGCGAGGCCGUGUAGAAAUCAGCAGAGAUGAUAGCACAAGCAUGGUGUAUCUGAGACUGUCUAACUUGCAACCACAGGACUCUGCUGUGUAUUACUGUGCCAGAGACACACUGGUUGAAGUGAGCAGAGAGGCUGUACAAUAA
Labrus bergylta (ballan wrasse) is the source of this 443-nucleotide non-coding RNA. NCBI's taxonomy places the organism in Eukaryota, Metazoa, Chordata, Actinopteri, Labriformes, Labridae. The record is from the annotation of a RefSeq genome assembly.